This 274-nucleotide ribosomal RNA is filed under the name uncultured bacterium. Its description in RNAcentral is "partial 16S ribosomal RNA". It matches the Rfam family "Bacterial small subunit ribosomal RNA", at positions 523 to 796 of the family's 1533-position model. The record is from RNAcentral.
AUACGUAGGGGGCGAGCGUUGUCCGGAAUCAUUGGGCGUAAAGGGCGUCUAGGCGGCCGGGUCAGUCUGAUGUGAAAUCGCUCGGCUCAACCGAGCAACUGCAUCAGAUACUGCCUGGCUUGAGUACGGGAGAGGGAAGUGGAAUGAGCAGUGUAGCGGUGAAAUGCUUAGAUAUUGCUCAGAACACCGGUGGCGAAGGCGGCUUCCUGGCCCGAUACUGACGCUGAAGCGCGAAAGCUAGGGGAGCGAACGGGAUUAGAAACCCUAGUAGUCC